This 554-nucleotide long non-coding RNA is filed under the name Homo sapiens (human). RNAcentral's name for it is "dual specificity phosphatase 16 (ENSG00000280962.3)". The record is from RNAcentral. Lineage: Eukaryota; Metazoa; Chordata; Mammalia; Primates; Hominidae.
AGUUAGUUUUUAGAGGUCCAAGGGAAAUCAGGCAGUGUCUCAUCUGUUGUUAAUUAAUGAAACGAAACUGGAGUCACUAGAGUGCAGCAGUGAAUGAAAGGUGGGUUUGCUGAGUUCUCUCGUUGUUUCCCUGGCCUCUGUGAAGGAAAAUCCACUCUAGUCCCUACCUGCAUUUCUCAGCCUUGCUUACCUGUUGCCAACAUUGGGCCAACCCGAAUUCUUCCCAAUCUUUAUCUUGGCUGCCAGCGAGAUGUCCUCAACAAGGAGCUGAUGCAGCAGAAUGGGAUUGGUUAUGUGUUAAAUGCCAGCAAUACCUGUCCAAAGCCUGACUUUAUCCCCGAGUCUCAUUUCCUGCGUGUGCCUGUGAAUGACAGCUUUUGUGAGAAAAUUUUGCCGUGGUUGGACAAAUCAGUAGAUUUCAUUGAUUUGUGAAAGAAAAAAGACCUACUAUAUCUCCAAACUUCAAUUUUCUGGGCCAACUCCUGGACUAUGAGAAGAAGAUUAAGAACCAGACUGGAGCAUCAGGGCCAAAGAGCAAACUCAAGCUGCUGCAC